UUAAAUCAAAUUUGUAUGGAGUUGGAACGACGGCCUACGUUUUCCGGCAGGAGCGCUGUUCCAACUGCAUAAAAAUUUGAGUUA
Bombyx mori (domestic silkworm) is the source of this 84-nucleotide non-coding RNA. The record is from Rfam. NCBI's taxonomy places the organism in Eukaryota, Metazoa, Arthropoda, Insecta, Lepidoptera, Bombycidae.